CCCUUAGAUGUUCUGGGCUGCACGCGCGCUACACUGAAGCGUUCAACGAGUAUUCACCUUGCCCGGGAGGGUUGGGUAAUCUUUUGAAAACGCUUCGUGAUGGGGAUAGAUUAUUGCAAUUAUUAAUCUUCAACAAGGAAUUCCUAGUAAGCGCGAGUCAUCAGCUCGUGCUGAUUACGUCCCUGCCCUUUGUACACACCGCCCGUCGCUCCUACCGAUUGAGCGAUCCGGUGAAUAAUUCGGACUGCAGCACUGCUUGGUCUCCAGGCUUUGCAGCGGAAAGUUUAGUGAACCUUAUCACUUAGAGGAAGGAGAAGUCGUAACA
RNAcentral lists this ribosomal RNA (325 nucleotides) under uncultured eukaryote. Its description in RNAcentral is "partial 18S ribosomal RNA". It matches the Rfam family "Eukaryotic small subunit ribosomal RNA", at positions 1470 to 1796 of the family's 1831-position model. The record is from RNAcentral.